ACGGGUGAGUAACGCGUGGGAAUCUACCCUUUUCUACGGAAUAACGCAGGGAAACUUGUGCUAAUACCGUAUGUGUCCUUCGGGAGAAAGAUUUAUCGGGAAAGGAUGAGCCCGCGUUGGAUUAGCUAGUUGGUGGGGUAAAGGCCUACCAAGGCGACGAUCCAUAGCUGGUCUGAGAGGAUGAUCAGCCACAUUGGGACUGAGACACGGCCCAAACUCCUACGGGAGGCGGCAGUGGGGAAUAUUGGACAAUGGGCGCAAGCCUGAUCCAGCCAUGCCGCGUGAGUGAUGAAGGCCCUAGGGUUGUAAAGCUCUUUCACCGGAGAAGAUAAUGACGGUAUCCGGAGAAGAAGCCCCGGCUAACUUCGUGCCAGCAGCCGCGGUAAUACGAAGGGGGCUAGCGUUGUUCGGAAUUACUGGGCGUAAAGCGCACGUAGGCGGAUCGAUCAGUCAGGGGUGAAAUCCCAGGGCUCAACCCUGGAACUGCCUUUGAUACUGUCGAUCUGGAGUAUGGAAGAGGUGAGUGGAAUUCCGAGU
Molecule: ribosomal RNA, 537 nt
Filed under: uncultured bacterium
Lineage: Bacteria
Description: bacterial SSU rRNA
Rfam family: Bacterial small subunit ribosomal RNA
Source: RNAcentral